RNAcentral lists this ribosomal RNA (775 nucleotides) under uncultured Neocallimastigales. RNAcentral's name for it is "partial large subunit ribosomal RNA". It matches the Rfam family "Eukaryotic large subunit ribosomal RNA", at positions 23 to 647 of the family's 3401-position model. The record is from RNAcentral. Lineage: Eukaryota; Fungi; Neocallimastigomycota; Neocallimastigomycetes; Neocallimastigales.
AGAGAUGUGUGAUGACGCAUAUCAAUAAGCGGAGGAAAAGAAACUAACAAGGAUUCCCCUAGUAACGGCGAGUGAAGCGGGAAGAGCUCAAAUUUGAAAUCUUAAAGGGUUUCCCUUUACGAAUUGUAGUUUAAAGAAGUGUUUUCUGUUGGAGUUUCGGUAAAAGUUCUUUGGAAUAGGACAUCAUAGAGGGUGAGAAUCCCGUAUUUGACCGUUACUUUCCAGCUGUGUGAUACACUUUCAAAGAGUCGGAUUGUUUGGGAAUGCAGUCCAAGAUGGGUGGUAAAUUUCAUCUAAAGCUAAAUAUUGGCGAGAGACCGAUAGCGAACAAGUACCGUGAGGGAAAGAUGAAAAGAACUUUGAAAAGAGAGUUAAACAGUACGUGAAAUUGUCAAAAGGGAAGCGUUUGACACCAGUGUUGUUUAGUUGAAAAUCAAUUCAAUAGUUUUUGAUUCUAAGUGGUAUUGACUUCAUCAGCUUGCUGCUUUCUUCUCAGAAAUUAUUGAAUGCACUUUUCAGUUAACAAGUCAACAUCAAUUUCUUUUGUUGUAAAAGGGUAAGAGGAAGGUGGCUUGCGCUUCGGCUCAAGUGUUUAUAGCCUUUUAUCUCUGCAAUCGGAGAGAUUGAGGUCUGCAGCGUAGAUCCUUCGGGGUUAGAUACAUUGGUGCUAAGCUAUAGCCUUGUAUAGACAACUUGUUGACUAUGCUCAGUCAUGUAGCUUACUCGCUGAUGCUAUUUUACCUACGCUUAGGAUGUUGACGCAUGAGAUAUACGC